AUGCUUCGCGGCCCGCGGCGCGCGCGGGGCCUCUGCCUCCUGCUGCUGUUGCUGCUGCUGCUGCCGCUCCCGGGCGCGCCGGGGCACGGCGGCGCGGCGUGGCCGGGGGAGGCGGCCGACGAGCCGGGCUCGGCAUGGGCCUGGCCGGGCUUCCAGCGCCUGCAGGAGCGGCUGAGGGCGGCCGGUGCCCUCUCCAGGCGGUACUGGGCGCUCUUCCGCUGCCAGGUGUGGCCCGGCGACUGUGAGGAGGACGAGGAGGCUGCCGCGGGUCCCCUGGGCUGGAGCCUUCCCGUGUUGGGCCAGCAGUACCUGGAUAUCCUGACCACAUGGUACUGCAGCUUCCAGGACUGCUGCAACAGUGGGGAUUGCAGGAUCUCCAACAACUUUACAGGCUUAGAGUCGGACCUGAGAGUGAGACUGCAUGGCCAGCAUUUGGCCCGAGAGCUGGUCCUGAGGACAGUGAGACACUACUUAGAGAUGCCCCAGCCAGACAAGGCCCUGGCUCUGUCAUUUCACGGCUGGUCUGGCACAGGCAAGAACUUCGUGGCCCGCAUGCUGGCAGAGAGCCUGUAUCGGGACGGGCUGAGGAGUGACUGCGUCAAGAUAUUUAUUGCCACGUUCCACUUUCCCCACCCCAAGUACACGGACCUGUACAAGGAGCAGCUGAUGGGUCAGAUCCAGGAGACACAACAGCGCUGCCACCAGACCCUGUUCAUCUUUGAUGAAGCUGAGAAGCUGCACCCGGGGCUGCUGGAGGUCCUUGGGCUGCAGUUGGAACACCAGUCCUCUGAGGGCCACAGGGCUGAGUCUCAGAGAACCAUCUUUCUCUUUCUCAGUAACCUUGGGGGCAAUAUCAUCAAUGAGGUGGUCCUGAAUUGGCUUAAGGCUGGAUGGUCCCGGGAAGAAAUUACAAUGGAACAUUUGGAGCCCCACCUCCAGGCUGAGAUUGUGGAGUCCACAGACAGUGGCUUUGGCCACAGCCGUCUUGUGAAGGAAAAUCUGGUUGACUUCUUCGUUCCCUUCUUGCCACUGGAGUACCAUCAUGUGAGGCUGUGUGCACGGGAUGCUUUCCAGAACCAGGAGCUCCCAUAUACAGAAGAGGCUUUGGAUGAAAUCGCCAAGAUGAUGGUGUAUGUCCCCAAAGAACAACAACUCUUUUCUUCCCAGGGCUGCAAAUCUAUUUCCCAGAGAAUUAACUAUUUCCUACCUUGAAGGCUAGAUGACUUCCAGGAGCUGCCUUCUUCCCACUAAGAGGACCCUUUAAGAGCACUGUUUGGAACUGUAAGCUGUGGGAGGGACAGACUGGCAUCCAGCAAUCACUAAUACACUGCUCAUGUGUAAAAGGCCUUAAAUCAGAAGCAGAGCCAAUUCUUAAAAUCACUUGGUGCCUUAAAGACAUGCAUUCCAAAAUGUGGGCCAGGUGGUUGGAAAUCAACAAAUCCCAAGGGCUUAUUAUGACUCUACAGAUGGUCUCACAUCUCAGCUCUUCCUUACAGAUGCCUGGACUUGGGUGUUGGGCCUCAGAAGCUGCAGGAGUCUUGGGUUACAUAGCAGGGAAGAAUGAAGUUCCAUGACCCAGUGGUGGGGAAUACACCUCAGGUUUGCAGGCCAAGUGGGCUGGCUUUCAAGUUGUUACUCCCAGAGGAAAGCCCAGCAGCUUCUGUUGUGAGCAGAUCAGCAACGAGCCUCAGGCCGAAGCGACAGGUGUACAGAGGAAGAUAUUUUCAAAAUCAGGUAAUCCUGACGGGGACUGGUGGAUCCAGGGGUGGCAUGCUGACAUGCAUGGAGCUGAUAAGGUAUGUGACUGGUCUGCUAAUUUACUUGUUUGCUUUGGGACCACAUCAGCUGAGCACAACCUCUUACUGAAGAGGUUUCCACAGCAUUGUUGCUCUUACAUACGAAAACGUUCACUCGUGUACUCCCAGCUUUAAAAAAAAAGCAGUCAUUUUUGAGGAUUAAAUGGCAAUGUGUAAAUGUGUGGCAUUGUGCCUGUUAAUAUAUAGGUGGUGCUCAUUAUGUUUUUUCUCUUUUCUUGGUUCUUCCCUUCUACCACACAUCUGGAAUAU
This is an RNA transcript of Cynocephalus volans (Philippine flying lemur), 2066 nucleotides long. It is a transcript of the gene named torsin family 3 member A, with no coding region annotated. The transcript is spliced from 7 exons. The record is from RefSeq and is a predicted model, not a curated record. NCBI's taxonomy places the organism in Eukaryota, Metazoa, Chordata, Mammalia, Dermoptera, Cynocephalidae.